Long non-coding RNA from Alligator mississippiensis (American alligator), 2143 nucleotides. RefSeq lists it as uncharacterized. The record is from RefSeq and is a predicted model, not a curated record. The transcript has 2 exons. Lineage: Eukaryota; Metazoa; Chordata; Crocodylia; Alligatoridae.
AGAAACCAGCCCUGCCCACUCACUUUAGUUCUAUAUAGGGUAACCAUCAUCCUGCUUGGAAAUAUAGGACAUCUGGGACACUUUCCUCAUUCCUUCCUCCCCCAACACCUUCUCUUCCCUCCCUCCUAGUCAGUGGUGCACUGCAGGGAGAGGCAGAGGCAGAGUGGCAUCCUGCAACAGGGGCACCAUGCUGCUUUCUUUCCCAGCAGAACUGUUCCCCAUGCCUGGGACACUCAUUUAAAUUUGCAUCCCCUGUCUGGGACCAGCCUCCAAAAUCCAGGACUGUCAAGGGAAAAAUGGGAUGGAUGUUUACCCUAGUUCUAUACGUAUUGCACACUACAAGGGUAAGAGCUGUGACCUGACAUCACCUGGAUCCAUUCCUUUCUUCUGGAACAACAUGCCAUGUCUGCAGUGAACGUGAAGAUCUUGGACUGGCCUUGUCAGUCUUUUCACUGACUUCUAUAUAUGUACAACACAGUAAAAAUGUGUAGUUGCCAUCAAAGCAGCACCAAGCAUGCCAGCACUGCUCUUAGGAGGAUGUGCUGGACUGUGAUCUUGAUCUUGACCGUGUUUCUGGACUCAUGCCUACAAGAGACUAAAAUACAUUUUUUGAUGAGUUGGAGUGGGAGCAGCUCAUUUCUGCUCAUGGAAAAAUGUGGAUUUUGGGUUACUUUUUUAACCUGAAAAUUGGGGAUUUUUUUUAAUCAGAAAAAAACCAGGAUCCCUGGUGACAACUAUGUUCAUUAAGCAGGUUGAGGGAAAUAUUCAGCACAGCUCAUUUAAAAAUAUUCUAUGAAUAUAUCCUACUGGUAUUUUUUGUUUUGUUUAAGUAUUCCAGAAUGCAUCACUUCAGGACAUCAAAUAUGCCAUGACUGUAUGAGUCAAAGUAGGAUGUCUGAUAUUCAAAACACCACACUGUGGCUUUUUGUUAGCAAACGAAGAAAUACAGAGAUGGAGUUCAUAAAGAAGGGGUUGCAGAGUGGUACAUAAAGCUGCAUUUUUGUUGUAGUGGUCAUACUAUAUUCUAUGCCCUCUGUGAUCCUUUUAAAGUUGUUUGUGACAUUGUAUCUUUGGAUUUUAGGGAUAUGCAUAAAAAUUACAGAGACAUGCUGCUCCCGAGCAAAAGGUCAUAAACGUCAGGGACAAAACCUUAUAUCAUGUGCCAAAAAAAGGGUCCGCAAAGGCAUUUAAAAGAAGAGUCAUGUGAGAAGUAGGAGCAAAAAGCUCCAAUCACAUCAAUUUGUUUUUUCACAAGCUGCCCUUUAAGGCAUCACCCUGAGGAUUCUACUUAGUGGGAUGAGCAGAAAGUUUCAGCAUUUUAAUUACUUGCUUGCCUGCAGCAACUAACGGCCUGAGCACCACGAGUGGGCUGAUGAUGAGUGACAAUUUACAUCUAUUGGCUGAACAGCUGGAAAACGAGCCCUAUGUGAUUUCUUACUGCUAUGUCAUGCCAGUCCAAAGCAAAGCAUUUUGCAGAGAUGGGCAUGCUGAUUACUGUCUCUUGUCAGCAUGUAGAAGAGUUGUUUCAUACAAUAAUGCUGGGAAUACUUUAGGAGAAGGAGAAGCUCCAAACUGUCAGCAGAACCACAGAGCUUGCUUCUGAGCUUCAGGAUUCAUUCUAAAUUCACUCUUGUCCUUCUUCAACAUUUGAGGGGAUUAUAAGAGUCAAUUGGAAAGAGUUGAUUUGUCUUCCCCUUCCCCCUCUCCUCCUCCUGAAAUCACUUAAACUGCUGGAGCAUAAGAAAAAGAAAAUUCCUGAGAUGAAAAAGGGUUUCAUCCAGUUCACUGCAUGUGGUUUUAUACAGAGAAGAAGUAAAGGUGGACUUCAGUGGGAAAAAAUGUGUAUCCUUGUUUGCUUUUAUGAUGUAUAAGAGUCAGAAGAACAUAUUUUGUCCCUUCAAAAAGAUUUUCUUCCUUCUCAUUGCCUCAUUACACUAGAAAUUCAGGUCUCCUGUACUCUGUUUUUCCUGGAAACCUUAUAUGGUUUUCUUGAUGUCAUAUUCUGCUGGUACUAUGUUUGAUGAGCUAUGGAAUACAAGUUGAUACUUGAUUGAGACAGUUUGAAACUCUUGGCUAUGGCUUUUUGUUAUUUAGUUCAAAUGACUGAAUCGUUAAAGUAAAAGCUCUUUUGUUACAUAUUCAA